This 71-nucleotide transfer RNA is filed under the name Patescibacteria group bacterium. Its description in RNAcentral is "tRNA-Trp". It matches the Rfam family "tRNA". From Rfam's summary of the family: Transfer RNA (tRNA) molecules are approximately 80 nucleotides in length. Their secondary structure includes four short double-helical elements and three loops (D, anti-codon, and T loops). RNAcentral also lists the same sequence under 1 other name. The record is from RNAcentral.
GCGGGUGUCGGUUAAUGGUAAACCACAGCUCUCCAAAAGCUGAACCGGGGGUUCGAUUCCCUCCACCCGUG